UACAGAGGCCCCGAGCGUUAGUCGGAAUUACUGGGCUUAAAGGGUGCGUAGGCGGACUUCUAAGUGUCGCGUGAAAGCCCACGGCUUAACCGUGGAACCGCGCGGCAAACUGGGAGUCUUGAGGAACGUAUAGGCGGGUGGAACGAUAGGUGGAGCGGUGGAAUGCGUAGAUAUCGGAAGGAACAUCAGUGGCGAAAGCGGCUUCCUGGUCCAGCAUCGACGUUCAGGCACGAAAGCGUGGGGAGCAAACAGG
RNAcentral lists this ribosomal RNA (253 nucleotides) under uncultured bacterium. RNAcentral's name for it is "partial 16S ribosomal RNA". It matches the Rfam family "Bacterial small subunit ribosomal RNA", at positions 524 to 776 of the family's 1533-position model. The record is from RNAcentral.